CCUACGGGAGGCAGCAGUGGGGAAUAUUGCACAAUGGGGGAAACCCUGAUGCAGCGAUGCCGCGUGGAUGAAGAAGGUUUUCGGAUUGUAAACUCCUUUUAUCAGGGACGAUAAUGACGGUACCUGAAUAAAAAGCUCCGGCUAACUACGUGCCAGCAGCCGCGGUAAUACGUAGGGAGCAAGCGUUGUCCGGAAUUACUGGGUGUAAAGGGAGCGUAGGCGGGACGGCAAGUCAGAUGUGAAAACGGGGGGCUCAACCUUCAGACUGCUUUUGAAACUGCUGUUCUUGAGUGCAGUAGAGGUAAGUGGAAUUCCUAGUGUAGCGGUGAAAUGCGUAGAUAUUAGGAGGAACAUCAGUGGCGAAGGCGGCUUACUGGGCUUUUACUGACGCUGAGGCUCGAAAGCGUGGGGAGCAAACAGGAUUAGAUACCCCAGUAGUC
This 440-nucleotide ribosomal RNA is filed under the name uncultured bacterium. Its description in RNAcentral is "partial 16S ribosomal RNA". It matches the Rfam family "Bacterial small subunit ribosomal RNA", at positions 338 to 795 of the family's 1533-position model. The record is from RNAcentral.